Long non-coding RNA from Papaver somniferum (opium poppy), 3144 nucleotides. RefSeq lists it as uncharacterized. Lineage: Eukaryota; Viridiplantae; Streptophyta; Magnoliopsida; Ranunculales; Papaveraceae. The record is from RefSeq and is a predicted model, not a curated record. The transcript has 7 exons.
UGUGAGUUUUCCUCUUUCUACUACCACCACCAUCGUUAUCAUCAAGAUUAACCCUUAUUGUCGUCGUCGCACAUGAACUAUUUUUUCACCAUUUUGUUUCACUUCUACGAAGUAAACCCUAGAUUCAUAAAUUCUUCUUCUCCUUUUGAUUUUUUCCCCUGAAAAUCUUUAACCCGAUUUCUGAUCUUAGUUCAGAUUCAUGCUCACCAUGUCAUUAUCUGGAUUAAUCUUAUUAUAAAUCAUUUGCAAAUUACAAUUUUUUGACCUAAAGAGGGAAAUCAGAGUUAAUCUGAUUGCAAGUGUUUCUCUGUUCUAUGAGUGUUUUUUGGCACGAGAUUUCCCCGAAACCCCUUCUCUUUUUUCACAAGAUUUCUUUAUAAACCCAUUUGGAGAAUCGUUAACGCUUUCCUCAAAUUUAAGUAAUUUGUUUUUUUUUUCUCUUAAAAUGUCAGAUGUAGAACAAAGGUAUAAACCAAACCCUAGUUUUGAUUUAUUGUUUUUCCUUUUCAAUUAGAUAUAACUGCAAGCUAUGUUUUGUUUGAUUUUACUCAAUAAUGUCAAAUUGAUGAUAAAGAUGUCUUAACUUUGUUUUAGUUGAUAAAAAAUUUUAUGGCAGUAUAUUGAUUUUUUCAGUAAAUGAAUGUGACUGGAAGAUAUUGUGUUUAGGUUGGUUCAGAACCAGGAUGGAAUGAUCAUGUUAGCUAGGCAGGCUCUCUGAACCUACAAGGUAAUUGGAGAGUGUUUUGGACGAAUAAUCAAGGAAGAAGGAUUUGGGGUCAUUGUGGAUAGGAAACACAAGAAAUGUCAUGCAUUACUUCCCUACUCAAGUUGGACCAUAUAUCGGCUCAUUUGUUCUUUAAUUUAACCUAAAUUUGUUCUCAUAUUCUGGAUUAUUGUAGCUUGAUUGCUAAAUUGUUUUAAAAUAUGUUAUCAGGCCUUGAACUUUACAUUCAAGGAUAACUUCAAGAGGCUCUUUAGUUUCAAGAAGGAUAAAGAUGGUUACUGGAAAUGAUUAGCUGGUGGCAUCUGGAUGUGCUGUUGGUGCUUAUUCAGAUGAAGUAAUUGGUGAACUUGAUAAAUCUGUAAUAAAUACGAAAAAUGGUGAGGUGGCACUUGUGAGUCUGUGGCUGUAAAACCAAAUAUGCUUUUGGCUCUCCAUAGUCUCGGCAAAAACUCGUUGUUGUUCCUCCUGGUUCAAUCAUCUCUUACUGAAGCUGACUUGUAUCUUUCGUUAAGGGGAUAGAAUCCUGGGACAUGGACAAUGGUGAGAACAUUGUGAUUGCUGGAAAAAAGAAGAAAGAAGGUAGUGCGAGAUGUACGGGACCAAGUAUUCAAAAGUAUCGUAGUAUAUGAUUGAGUGUGACGAUUGCUUGGGUGGUUUUCAUCUUAAAUGUCUUAGACCUCAUUGAAGGAGAUUCCAGACGGGGAUUGGAUUUGUGAAUUUUGUGAGGCUAGGAAAGCGGGGAAGAAAGCUGACCUUCCUGAACCACCAAAAUGGAAAAAGCGGAGAAGAACGGCAACGGACAAGCUUCUUUCUAAUGACCUAUGGGUUGUACAUAUUGAAAGCUUAUGGAAGGAACCAGAUGGUAGUUAUUGGUUUAGAGGUCGAUGGUAUGUGAUUCCUGAAGAGACUGCAGUUGGAAGGCAUCCACAUAAUCUACGCAGGGAGCUUUAUCGCACUAAUGAUUUUGCGGACAUUGAGAUGGAAUCUAUUCUUAGGCAUUGCUCUGUAAUGAACUGUAAAGAAUUUUCUGAAUCCAAGUACAUAGUUAAUCCUUAUAAAGUGAAAAUAAAUUCUCACUUUGCAGCCUAUAAGAAAUAUUUAGAAACAUGUGGGGUUCUUGCUGGUAAACCGAAAAACAGAGUAUUCCAUAUUACAACACUAAUGAUUCCAAAGGAGGAGGCAACUUAGGACUCUUGCUCGACGAUGAAUGAAGAAGACAUUUUCGAUUUUCAAGACAAACUCCCUCCUUUCCCCCUUGGGUGGAUUCAUGUAAUUAAGAAAAAUCACCUUUCAAGUAGUUAUCUUGUUUUUUAUUCAAGGACUUAUUUUUAUCUAAUCCUUGCCUCACUUUGGGCGCAUAAUGUGUCUACAAAUACUUCAAUUUGACAUCAAUCAUAUGAUAUCAUGCACAUCUUUAAUCCUUGAUAUGUGUUGUCCUAGUCACAGAAGUAUACAAUCACUUCACUCAUUAACUUCCUGGUUUGUUUUUCAAGCACAUCCUUCACAGGCUUGCUUUAUGUCUUCAGUUGAUAUUCAUACACAUUAUUCAUACCAGGUAAUAAUAUACUAUUUUGGAAUUGCUAUUAUUUGCCUGUAGACCUUAAUAUACUGCCCAUACCUACUUCACUAUUUAUAGUUCAUUUGAAAUUUUACAUGGAUUUUACGUGGAUUUUUCCCUUUAUUAAAUCAUGUUACCCAAAACAAUUGCAAUUGUCAUGGCCCUCACAGAUACUUCCAGGUAGAAUUUGUCUCUCCCUUUGUAUCUGAAUUAUUACAAUUGUAGUGACUUUGCAUGGUCUAGCUGAACCAAAAUAGCAGUUGGGUACACCCAUUACCCACUCUGCCUUCUAUCCAACAAAUUUUCUACUCUUGUGGAAUAGUAGAAUUGAAGUAAAUAAAGAAAGAAAAGGGAGUUUAAAAACUGGACCAUGAAAAUUGAUUGUUACUGUGUAGUCCAUUCUUCAUCGUAUCGGUCGAACGAACUAACAACUGUGUUGUCGUAUUUAAACAUUCAAAGAUAUAGACUAUCACCUACUCAAUUAUUGCUUGUCAUAUUAAAUACUAAUAGUAAAAUGGUCCAUUGUUUGUUGUACAUUUUGAGCAGCUUCACUGGGCGUGCGAUAUCUAUCACACUGCUCUUGCUGGUUCCUCCAGUUGAAAUGCCUCACAACCCAUGGUGACAACUUAAACUUCAAGCACCAGGCAUACCUCAUGCAGCAGAAAAUGUUCACCUGGUUAGAUGGUUCCAGUAGGCGAAUGUGAGAGUUCUUUUUUCUUUAGAUCAUUUUGUAAGAACCUUAGUGUGAUACUGAAUUUAUAAAUAUAUCCACCUGACAAUCCUUCAUAUGAUUUUUGUGAUGUGCUUCAUACUUUUUGGUGUGUAUGGAGUGCAUCAUGGUGUAUCAUUGUGAAUUAACUCU